Salarias fasciatus (jewelled blenny) is the source of this 93-nucleotide long non-coding RNA. RefSeq lists it as uncharacterized. Lineage: Eukaryota; Metazoa; Chordata; Actinopteri; Blenniiformes; Blenniidae. The transcript has 3 exons. The record is from RefSeq and is a predicted model, not a curated record.
CACACACACACACACACACACACAAAAAAGUGGCGUUUCCCUUUAAGUAGCCUCCACAACCCACACAUACACAGACGGUACGGAUACACACUC